This 468-nucleotide ribosomal RNA is filed under the name uncultured bacterium. RNAcentral's name for it is "partial 16S ribosomal RNA". It matches the Rfam family "Bacterial small subunit ribosomal RNA", at positions 28 to 507 of the family's 1533-position model. The record is from RNAcentral.
GACGAACGCUGGCGGCGGGCUUAACACAUGCAAGUCGAACGGAAAGGCCCUGCUUUUGUGGGGUGCUCGAGUGGCGAACGGGUGAGUAACACGUGAGUAACCUGCCCUUGACUUUGGGAUAACUUCAGGAAACUGGGGCUAAUACCGGAUAGGAGCUCCUGCUGCAUGGUGGGGGUUGGAAAGUUUCGGCGGUUGGGGAUGGACUCGCGGCUUAUCAGCUUGUUGGUGGGGUAGUGGCUUACCAAGGCUUUGACGGGUAGCCGGCCUGAGAGGGUGACCGGCCACAUUGGGACUGAGAUACGGCCCAGACUUAAACGGGAGGCAGCAGUGGGGAAUAUUGCACAAUGGGCGGAAGCCUGAUGCAGCAACGCCGCGUGCGGGAUGACGGCCUUCGGGUUGUAAACCGCUUUCGCCUGUGACGAAGCGUGAGUGACGGUAAUGGGUAAAGAGGCACCGGCUAACUACGUG